AACGCUGGCGGCGUGCUUACACAUGCAAGUCGAGUGCGCGGUUGUAGCAAUACAACUGGCGCACGGCGCACGGGUGCGUAACACGUGGGCAAUCUGCCCUCCGAUGGGGAAUAACUCCGGGAAACCGAAGCUAAUUCCGCAUAACAUUCCCUGGACUCCGGUUCGGGGAUUCAAAGCAGCAAUGCGUCGGAGGAGGAGCCCGCGCCCGAUUAGCUUGUUGGCGAGGUAACGGCUCACCAAGGCAAUGAUCGGUAGCUGGUCUGAGAGGAUGGCCAGCCACACUGGAACUGAGACACGGUCCAGACUCCUACGGGAGGCAGCAGUGGGGAAUCCUGCGCAAUGGGCGAAAGCCUGACGCAGCGACGCCGCGUGGGGGAUGAAGCUUUUCGGAGUGUAAACCCCUUUCGACCGGGACGAAUGCCCGCAAGGGAGUGACGGUACCGGUAGAAGAAGCCCCGGCUAACUACGUGCCAGCAGCCGCGGUAAGACGUAGGGGGCCAGCGUUGUUCGGAAUUACUGGGUGUAAAGGGUUCGUANGCGGUGUGGCAAGUCGGGAGUGAAAUUUCUGGGCUU
RNAcentral lists this ribosomal RNA (573 nucleotides) under uncultured bacterium. RNAcentral describes it as "bacterial SSU rRNA". It matches the Rfam family "Bacterial small subunit ribosomal RNA", at positions 32 to 610 of the family's 1533-position model. The record is from RNAcentral.